CCCUAACCGACUUAAAGAACAUAGCAGAACAAGUCUCAUUGUGUUCUAGAAAGCCACUAUGCUCACGCUCCAGGAAAGCUCGAGCCUUCCGCUCCUGCAACUCCCUGAGCUGCGCCUUUAGGGUAGCGGAUCUCUCCCAGUCAAACGACCCGCCGAGGUUGCCUGCCUCGUACUCGAGUUCAAUUAACCUUUGGAUACGAUCCACCUCCCUCCUCUCCUCCCUUUUUUUCCUCUUGCAAUACCCUAUUAUAAAAGCCCUAAUCCUCACCUUCACUAAUUCCCACCACUCUAACACCCCCUCGCACAUGGACCGGAGGCCUUCAAGCCUCCAAAAGAAACCAUAAAACCCGUCAACAAAAGCCUGCUCCUCCAGCACAUCCCGAUCUAACUACCAAAGAGGCAGACUGGCGACCCCACCUGCAGGAGCACCCCGUCGUGAUCCGAAAAGAAAACAGGCAACAGCCGCCCAGACAACUUACUCAAAGACCUGGGUACAAAAAUAUAGUCGAGCCUCCGCUCAACCCCCCCUGGAGUUGCGCCAUGUAGGACCGGCCAUUUUCGGAGUAGUGUGUAGACCACCAUCAACCAGACCAUGGCAAGCCAUUAGCCCGGUAAUGGCGCCUGCACUGCUAUCCCCCCCUAUUCCUAAAUCUGUAUUAAAUUCCCCCCCUAUCACUAAUUUCCUAUUUGUGACACACAGGGGCGUCAGACAGUCCACCAUCUCCCUCCUGUCUGCCACCACCUGUGGCCCAUACACCACCACUAAUCUAAAUUUACAAUCCCUUAUCGUGACAUCCACCCCUAUAACCCUCCCCUGCAUUACCACAAAAGAAUCCUCCAAUUUGCACCCCUCCAAUACCCCAAACUGACUCCCCCUUGUCCCACUCCCUCUUAAACCUACUAACAUCCCCUCCAUCCCUCAGGUGAACCUCCUGUAAAAAUAAAAAUCAAACUCCACACCCUCCAAAUAACUAAAAACCGCCCUCCUCUUAACAAAAUCCCUUAAACCCCUUACAUUUAAACUAACAAAAGUAAAAUUAGACCCCAUGAAAGAAUAAAAUAAAAACAUGUAAUACACUCAAAUUCUAAACCCAGACAGAAAAAAAACAAAAACAGGAGACUCACCCGAUGCUCCCCUGCUCCAUAUCUACCGGUGAGAACACCAUCCGUACUCCCGACAUCCCCCCUCUUCCUCCAUCUCACCAACCCAGGAUGCAGGAAUAGUGUUUGGCUCCGGGGUGCCCUGCACCCUGGGUCUACCCCCACACUCCUCCCCCUCCCCAGUGCUGCAGCUGGUUUGGA
Oncorhynchus tshawytscha (Chinook salmon) is the source of this 1302-nucleotide long non-coding RNA. The record is from Ensembl. NCBI's taxonomy places the organism in Eukaryota, Metazoa, Chordata, Actinopteri, Salmoniformes, Salmonidae.